GUCUAAAGCCAUGCCCCCCUGAACAAGCCUGAUCCCGUCCGAUGUUGGAAGCUAAGGAGGGUCAGGCCUGGUUAGUACUUGGAUGGGAAACCACCUAGGAAGGCUAGGUGCUGUAGGCA
This 119-nucleotide ribosomal RNA is filed under the name Pteropus alecto (black flying fox). The record is from RNAcentral. Lineage: Eukaryota; Metazoa; Chordata; Mammalia; Chiroptera; Pteropodidae.